This 509-nucleotide ribosomal RNA is filed under the name uncultured bacterium. RNAcentral's name for it is "bacterial SSU rRNA". It matches the Rfam family "Bacterial small subunit ribosomal RNA", at positions 32 to 507 of the family's 1533-position model. The record is from RNAcentral.
AACGCUGGCGGCGUGCUUAACACAUGCAAGUCGAACGAGAGGACAAGAGAAGCUUGCUUCUUUUGGAAUCGAGUGGCAAACGGGUGAGUAACACGUAAACAACCUGCCUUCAGGAUGGGGACAACAGACGGAAACGACUGCUAAUACCGAAUACGCUUGGGAGACCGCAUGAUCUACCAAGGAAAGGGUGGCCUCUACCUGUAAGCUAUCGCCUGAAGAGGGGUUUGCGUCUGAUUAGGCAGUUGGUGAGGUAACGGCCCACCAAACCUACGAUCAGUAGCCGGUCUGAGAGGAUGAACGGCCACACUGGAACUGAGACACGGUCCAGACUCCUACGGGAGGCAGCAGUGGGGAAUCUUCCGCAAUGGGCGAAAGCCUGACGGAGCAACGCCGCGUGAGUGAUGACGGCCUUCGGGUUGUAAAACUCUGUGAUCCGGGACGAAAAGGCAGAGUGCGAAGAACAAACUGCAUUGACGGUACCGGAAAAGCAAGCCACGGCUAACUACGUG